GGAAAGGCCAGGCUGUGGAGGACCAGGGCACAGACGGCACGUCUGCAGCACCUGCCAGCCCACGCACUGGCCUGCCUGGACAUCACAAGUGACCAGGGUUACUCGGCACUAUCAUAUCUCUCAAAGAAGAAACAACUCCUCCAACGGCAACAUCUGUGGGGCUGCUUUUGAACUAUCAGCAAUUCAUUUGAGCAAGAGCUGGGAGCAUUUUUCCCCUGGGCCUGAUCAUGAGGAAGUGUUUGCCCCUCUGGAGGACACAGCAACAAGGACCAUCUUGGAAGCAGAGACCUGGCCCUCACCAGACACCAUACCUGCCGGCACCUUGAUCUUGAACUUCUCAGCCUCCAGAAGUCAGUGAAAGUGCAACGACUAAAAGGGAAUGGAGUGACACAGACAAGUGUCUACAAGAGACCCUGGGGCUGCUACUCCAAAUGCUGUCACUUUGCAAGGUUACUGGGUAGAACUUCAAUCUUACUACUCACCUGCUCAACAACCUGCAAUGGCUCCCUAUUGUUGCCUUUCCCAACAAGGCCUCAUUUCAUGGAUGAUUUUCCAUCGUCUGGCCCUAUCCUAAAAGAGAGUGGAGCCUCUUGCUCAGAGUCAGGCUUUGGUCUCAACUGCCUUGUUUCACAUUCUCACUAUGCCAGUCCCCAGCUGGGUGAUGAUGAGUAAGUUACUUAGCCUCUCUGGGCACUGGCUUCCUUACUUAUUAAAUGUAGAUAAUAUUAGGUUGGUGCAAAGUAAC
Molecule: long non-coding RNA, 745 nt
Filed under: Homo sapiens (human)
Lineage: Eukaryota; Metazoa; Chordata; Mammalia; Primates; Hominidae
Description: non-protein coding lnc-CPNE5-1:3
Source: RNAcentral